UACCUGGUUGAUCCUGCCAGUAGUCAUAUGCUUGUCUCAAAGAUUAAGCCAUGCAUGGGUAAAUAUGAACUAAUUCAGACUGGGAAA
Molecule: ribosomal RNA, 87 nt
Filed under: Eucalyptus consideniana
Lineage: Eukaryota; Viridiplantae; Streptophyta; Magnoliopsida; Myrtales; Myrtaceae
Description: partial 18S ribosomal RNA
Rfam family: Eukaryotic small subunit ribosomal RNA
Source: RNAcentral